Molecule: ribosomal RNA, 688 nt
Filed under: Flavobacterium psychrophilum
Lineage: Bacteria; Pseudomonadati; Bacteroidota; Flavobacteriia; Flavobacteriales; Flavobacteriaceae
Description: bacterial SSU rRNA
Rfam family: Bacterial small subunit ribosomal RNA
Source: RNAcentral
AGUCGAGGGGUAGAAAGCAAUAUUUGAGACCGGCGCACGGGUGCGUAACGCGUAUGCAAUCUACCUUUUACAGAGGGAUAGCCCAGAGAAAUUUGGAUUAAUACCUCAUAGUAUAGUGAGUUGGCAUCAACACACUAUUAAAGUCACAACGGUAAAAGAUGAGCAUGCGUCCCAUUAGCUAGUUGGUAAGGUAACGGCUUACCAAGGCAACGAUGGGUAGGGGUCCUGAGAGGGAGAUCCCCCACACUGGUACUGAGACACGGACCAGACUCCUACGGGAGGCAGCAGUGAGGAAUAUUGGUCAAUGGGCGCAAGCCUGAACCAGCCAUGCCGCGUGCAGGAUGACGGUCCUAUGGAUUGUAAACUGCUUUUGCACAGGAAGAAACACUCGGUCGUGACCGAGCUUGACGGUACUGUGAGAAUAAGGAUCGGCUAACUCCGUGCCAGCAGCCGCGGUAAUACGGAGGAUCCAAGCGUUAUCCGGAAUCAUUGGGUUUAAAGGGUCCGUAGGCGGCCAGAUAAGUCAGUGGUGAAAGCCCAUCGCUCAACGAUGGAACGGCCAUUGAUACUGUUUGGCUUGAAUUAUUUGGAAGUAACUAGAAUAUGUAGUGUAGCGGUGAAAUGCUUAGAGAUUACAUGGAAUACCAAUUGCGAAGGCAGGUUACUACAAAUUGAUUGACGCUGAUGG